RNAcentral lists this long non-coding RNA (2317 nucleotides) under Vulpes vulpes (red fox). RNAcentral's name for it is "lncRNA (ENSVVUG00000025025.1)". The record is from RNAcentral. Lineage: Eukaryota; Metazoa; Chordata; Mammalia; Carnivora; Canidae.
AUGCCCUCCCCUGCAGAGUCCCUUCCCGACCCCCAUGUGCUUCACGAGGGCAAGGCUUUGCGCUCCUGGGACCAUCAUGCUUUUCCUCAUGUGCUGAAAGGCCCAGCCCGCUUCUGCUUCAUCUCUGCCCCUGCUGUCCUGGGAGAAGUUUCUUCUCAGACCACACUGAAAAUAUCCAAACACUUCCCACUGCACAACGGUAAACCUGUCUUCCCUAAUGAACAGCUUUCAUUUAGGCUCGGGGAAGAAGGUGCGCGCCGGGGCUGGGUAUCGGCAGGCGGCCACGUCGCAGGAUCUCAGGCUUGGCAUUCACGGCUCCUCUGGGACCCCACGCGACCAGCACAGCACUUCUUACUGUGGCAAAACACAUAUAACAUAAAAUUUACCAUCGUCGCUAUUUUGAAGUGCCCACUUCAGGGGUAUUAAACACAUUCUUGUGCAAGCAUCACCAGCACCCACCCCUAGAACUCAUUCACCUCAGAAAACCAAAAGUCUGUCUCCUUAAAAGACUAGCUCUCCCCCCGCCCCCGGCCACCCCACCCAGCCCCUGGCACCCACCACGGCAGUUUGUCUUUAUGAUUUUGACUUCUCUGAAUCAGCAAAUGACUUUUUGAUGUUUUGAACCAGGAAGGAGAGUUUGAAGAAGUCAAGAUUUAUGCUGACCCAGAUGUCACAGCUGUUCCUGCGAUGUCCCCACCAGAUGGUUCCCAGACCCUCUUGCACACCUGCAGUGAUCUCUGCCCACCAUGUCCCAAUUCAGCCCAUUGCUGAGCCUCUGCAGGAGAAGGACACUCUGACAUUCAGGCCGCCAAGCUCCCGGCCCUGCCGUUCCUGAUCCCACAGGGUUUACUGAGCAUCUACUGCACCCGGGGCCCUGUGCUGAGGCUGGCAGACACUGGAACAGACCCCAGCCCCCCGUGUCAGCUGGAAGGCUCUGCACCUGCUGUAGUGAGUGAGCAGCACCCCGCAUGGGCAUCUGCUCACUGUGGGCACCAUCCCACGGCCCACUGGCCCUAGCACUCAGGAGGCUGCUGCAUGCUGAGCCUGAAGUCCUGGCUCACUGGGGGGUCCUCCGAGAAGCACACAUAGGGACGAAUUAGAUGUGUGGCCUUAGCUGUCCAGGGCAUACUGUGGUGGAAGGUAAGUAGCAGGUGCGGCCAGGGAGAGCCUUCUGACUGGGAUGCAGUCCUGACCCUGUGAGAGGGAAGGAGGACUGGGUGGGAGGAGCCCCAGGGCAGCGCAGCCCAGCCAGGGAGUCUGGGUGGCUGGUGGGGGCCUGAGUGAAGACCGCCAGGAGGGGAGGUACACUGGGUGGGGCUGGCCCUGGUGCCCCCUGUGUGAUUCCUGGCUCCUGGUCAGUGCUUUCUGUGUGUGGCUCCCAGGAAUCAGCAUCUCAGAGGGACCAGAGGGGCCCAGGGCAGCCCUUGUUCACUUCACAGAGGAAGCAUGGGGCUUAGGAGAAGGGGUCCCAGCUGGAGCUGCCGCCUGCCCCUGGCCCUUCAUGACUGCAUGCGGGUCCGCGGCAUUGCUGAGUGUUGAACUCACUGGGGGACAGUGAGGAGACACACCUGGCCCGGCAGAGAUGAGCAGGUCCCUGGGGCCCCCAGCUGUGUGUUCAAUGAGAAAGUGGUCCAUUAACGAAACACACAGAGAACUGGCCCCAGGGCGGCCCCUCUGUGCAGCCCGGCCGGUGCCCUGGAAGGAUGUGGUCGAGCAGCCCAGCAGGAGGAGCAGGGGCUCCGGGAGGACCCCAGGUUCUUGGGUGGAUGGCACUGGCCAGGCUCAUGACUGUGGGUUCAGCUGGGGUUGGGCUGAGUGAUGUUUUGGGGCCCCUUGCCAGCAGGGUGCCAGCCUCUGCCCAGGCUCCCCUCACCGGCCCACCCUCAGCCCCCUGUCUUCAUCUCCACCAGCCCCUUCUUGUCAGUGGGGUCUGGGCAGGUGAGAGUCCUACGACAGCGUGCAGAGGCUUGAUGGAGCAGCCGGGAGGUCCGGGUGCAGGCCUGUUCGGUCUACAUCAGCUGUGUGGCCACCUGGCAGCUCAACAGGGAAUGGGGGCCCCUGCUCUAUGGCAGAGCUUGUCCAGUCAGCUCAUGGGUGCUGGCGGGGCUUGAGGGCUGAGGGCCAGGCAUGCGAGGAGGGCCGAGUAGGGGACAGCCCUGCACCGAAUGCUGGCCAGGAGGCCCCUGGGGUGGUUCCGGGGGGACAGCAUCACUCUUCUUGGGUGCCCCUGAAGCAGCCACAAAAACUAGCAGUAAAAAACCUUUUUGUUGCCUUUCCAGCCCAGACAAAAUCAAUAAAUUCUGGAAACAUGAGAACA